Non-coding RNA from Caenorhabditis elegans, 151 nucleotides. The record is from Ensembl. NCBI's taxonomy places the organism in Eukaryota, Metazoa, Nematoda, Chromadorea, Rhabditida, Rhabditidae.
GUUUUCUAGCCACUUUUUCGUGUCUGUAUCCGGAACCGAAGUGCAUCAAAAGGCUGUCAGAAAGCCGUCUCAUUUGACAUUCAUACCCAUAACAUGUAAUGGGUUUUCCCCGUUUUUUAUGUUAUGAUGGAGUGAUGAUGUUGACAAAAGC